GUAGUCCACGCCCUAAACGAUGUCAACUAGUUGUUGGUAGAGUAAAAUCUAUGAGUAACGCAGCUAACGCGUGAAGUUGACCGCCUGGGGAGUACGAUCGCAAGAUUAAAACUCAAAUGAAUUGACGGGGGCCCGCACAAGCGGUGGAUUAUGUGGAUUAAUUCGAUGCAACGCGAAAAACCUUACCUGGCCUUGACAUGUACGGAAUCCUGAAGAGAUUUGGGAGUGCUCGAAAGAGAGCCGUAACACAGGUGCUGCAUGGCUGUCGUCAGCUCGUGUCGUGAGAUGUUGGGUUAAGUCCCGCAACGAGCGCAACCCUUGCCAAUAAUUGCCAUCAUUUAGUUGGGCACUUUAUUGGGACUGCCGAUGACAAAUCGGA
This 379-nucleotide ribosomal RNA is filed under the name uncultured bacterium. RNAcentral's name for it is "bacterial SSU rRNA". It matches the Rfam family "Bacterial small subunit ribosomal RNA", at positions 790 to 1167 of the family's 1533-position model. The record is from RNAcentral.